Long non-coding RNA from Daphnia magna, 891 nucleotides. RefSeq lists it as uncharacterized. The transcript is spliced from 2 exons. Lineage: Eukaryota; Metazoa; Arthropoda; Branchiopoda; Diplostraca; Daphniidae. The record is from RefSeq and is a predicted model, not a curated record.
AAAACUAAAGUUGUUUAGAGUUGAGUUUAUUUCAUUAUUAAUUAUUAUUGAAAAAAUAAAAAAUUUUAGAAACGAAUUCUAAGUACAUUUUUCCUAACGUGAACGCAUAAUUCUAUAACUUAUUUUGUCAACGUUGACCGGAAGUCUUAAAUAUCCAUUUUUUUCUUUCCAAACCGUGAUGUUAUAAGUAGAAGGCUGAAUCAGCUCAGUUAGUAGCGUGGUUCCGUGGUACAGUCUUCAUGUUUAUCCUGGUGAGUACCUUAAUGUAAUAUUAAUUUUUAAAGUAAUAUGUACCCUGUGCAUUCCUUUGAACCACACAAGUCCAAUUUGGCUUAUAGUGGCCAAGCGGAUAUGCUAAAUCAAUAAUUAUUCUGAUCUACCGUUGUUAUCCUUAUGUGAAACAAACGGAUUGAACCGAAUCAAUACAUAGCAUUUAAGUAAAAGUUUUCAUGCACUGAAGCUAGGUUUUAUAUGCACAUAAACAUUACUUAUAUUGGAAAAUACUUGGAAAAGUGGAUAUAAUGUGCAUUUUUUCAAUUGAUAACUAAUAAUUAACUUUAUUCUCAGGUUACUGUCCUGCUGGAGGGAGCAACGAAUUUGGCGAUAUUUGUGAACAUUUUGUGUAGUAUAUUAUGAAUUGGUACAGCGGGACUAUUCAUGAGCAACUAAAUGACAAUGUACUCGAUUUCGAGUGCCUUGAUACCAGUUUCAUGAUAUAACGUUUCCGUACGUUUCGUAGCAUAAAAGAUCGAAAAACAUUUCAAUUCUGUACAGGUUACAAACCAAGUUUCUUCCUGAUUUGCAAGGUUUACUGGAACUAAUUUGAGAUACUUCAGACUGCUUAACAGCAACAAUGAGUACCAUCGACAAAUACAACAUUUCUAGAUUCAA